Molecule: small nuclear RNA, 79 nt
Filed under: Homo sapiens (human)
Lineage: Eukaryota; Metazoa; Chordata; Mammalia; Primates; Hominidae
Description: partial ncRNA
Source: RNAcentral
AGAGAAUCGCUUGAACCCAGGAGGCGGAGGUUGCAGUGAGCCGAGAUCACACCAUUGUACUCCGGCCUGGGCAACAAGA